CCUCCUGCUCACUCCCUUUCUCUCUCUCUCAAAUAAAUAAACUUUAAAAAAAAAAAAAACUAUUAAAGCUAUAGGCUUAACACGCCCAUACUGUGCUUCUAGGAGAAUCCAGGUGAUGUACCUCAGUGCAAAAUAUCCGUGUACUUAUUUAGGUUUCUUUCCAAAUUUGCACUACUACCCCAAGCGAGUAUGGUUUUCAAAUGGCAUUUUACAAAAUGGAUCUGGAGGCAAAAAUACCGUCAAAGGCCCAGAGAGGCUAUCCGAGCAUUACAAGACGAGGCUUGGAAGGUGUGUGUGGCCAGGAAGCCAAGGGGACCUUUCAUCCAAACGAAUCAUGAGUCAUGAAGCCGCCUGUUAAAUGGGGGAAAUGAAAUCAGCCUGUUACAUAAAACUCUCUCCUCACCCUCCAGUUUAUUCCAUGACAAGCUUGAAAUGACAUGGGGUUUAACUGGCAGGGUUUGCUUUUAAUCGUUGGAGAUUUGUAAGUCAGAUGGAAACAACAGGAAAUCCCUCCCCUGAAAGCCCUGCCGAGCCCCUUACACACAUGCACUCGCUCACACCGGCUCCGAAAGAGCUCCCGGCGCUUCAGUUCUCGGCUUUGAUAACUCAAGAACAGCAGAUGAAACACACUUUUUAAAAGUUUUUAAAGAACAAAACAAGAACCACAGGAAGGGGCAGGGUGUUCUGCUCCUCUCUCUGGCCGUUUGGAAGGUGGGGUGGGCACCGCACCCAGCCGGUCGGUCGGCCUCGAGCCCGCCGCACUGGCAGCGGUUAGAAAUGCUGGCCCCUCGUUCAAGUUUGCAUCUUGCGAAAUAACCUCACUGUAGUCUUGUUUGGCUGUACUCCUUUGAGGACUUCCCACUUUCAAGAAGAGCGAUCAUUUUCAUGUCCCACAAUCUCCAAAAUACAUGUAGUUUUAAGGCAAAAUUCAAACUUCCCGUUAGUGAAAUAUUUUGAUACAUCUUUUUUAGGAUUAAAGCAGUCAGUAUAAGUUAACGUCUGUGACUUGACGACAAAUUCAAGUACCCAGAGCUUCUGUGAGGACCCUUGCCCCAAGCCUUCAUCAGUGAGGGUACUUGGGUAAUCCUCCAGAAGCAAACAGUGACGUGCCGUCUGGGCAGCUUUUGAACAAAUUGCAGUAAUGACAAUUUCUUGACCUUCACAAGUGAUACCAAUUGACACUAUGAUAAUGUAAUGAUAAUUUAUCGAGCACUUGCCGCAUGCCGGGCAUGCGCACACAGCAUGAGAACCUCACUUGGUGCUCUCAAGGCCUUACCGUGCAGGUGCAGAGACCCUCCCUUUAGCCCCCGGGAACAGGGACCGCCAGGAAGUUAGAGCUGCCCAAAGGCACACAGGGUAAGUAAAGCUGGAACCGCAGGCCCGGACACGUGGCCCCAAAACUUACACUCUGAACCGCUAGCAAUUCCACCUCUUAGAACUCCGAGCGAAUUUCUUCCAGCCCAUAUCGUGACUGUGACCAGUCCCUAAAGGCCUAGAAAUGUGCCCAGACCACAGACUAGACACAUCCGGAGCUGGACUGUAAGGAUACAGAGGAGCUGGCCACUAAACGAGUAUUUUAACUCUCUUUUUAGCAAUGGUCAUUUCUUCGGGGGGAGAGAAAGGAUUUCAAACAUUGUAAAGUCAAAGACUCGUUUUUGCAAGUGUGACUGUGCUUCGAUUUCCCAAAUGGGGAAGAGUGGCGCCCCUUCCACAAAAGCAGGAAAGGCAAAGCCAUACUCGCCUUCCUCCCCAACAGACCCCAGACUCGUCCCAAGAUUUCAGGGGUCCAUGGAGGACAGCCUGGGAAUCACUGAGGUCGACAGAUUGCCAUAGACCUGACAGAUCUUGUUCUCUGAAAAUCACUGAACAAAAUGUCUAAUGUUCUUGUCUACAAAGGAGGUAACUAGAACCCAUACACUACGGGUAAGCAACAAUAUGUCUUCCUGUCUCUGCCUGACGGCUCUGCGCGCGGUCCUGCUGCGCCCAGCAGCUUUUAUCGGUAGCUCAAGUCCUCGACAACGUGCCCAGGACACUAACGGGGGCCAGCGGCAGAGCCUGGCCAGACAUAGUCCAAGAGCGUGUGAACAGCAGGCAGCUUAGGAACACAUGUGUCAAAACGCGGAAUAUUGUCCAUAGAAAUCUUUUUGGAAGAACUCCAAGGACUCAAAACUUCGUCUUAAUAUAAGAAACCCCAAAGCUCACCUAGCACGGACUUAAUUUUCCAGUAGUAUGAAUUCCCGCCCUGCUCCCCAGGCUGCAGAAACGGAUGGCUCCCCAGACCACAAGGUCGUGAUGCCAAAAUUAGAACAGGAAACUAAAUUUCAAGAAGGCAGAGUGAACUACAAAUUAAAUAAUCUGAAAACAUACUAAAACCUGUGUAAGGAGCCAAGAUUGCAAAACCUGGGGGACAGGUGUUAACUGGUCCAGGGGUCCCAAAGAGAGGUCUGGGUCAAAUGCUGUUCUUGGUUUCACUUACAUACACGGCCAACGUGCGGAGCCUGGGCUGACAGGCAAGCAUAAAGGUCCAGGGUGGGGAUAGACACAAGUCCCUCCAAGGCAGGACAGAAUCAGCAUUUUCCUGGUUAACCCAGUGAGUGGGAAGUGAAUGGGGCUCACAUGACCUCUUUCAGCUUCUAAGCACCCUUGCGCAUAUACCAAAUCCUUGAGCUGAGUUGGCAUCGAAGGCAAUCUUCGUGCUUGUCCACUUGGCAUGUGAUGUGCGGCAGAGGGCAGGGUCACCGGCCCCCUUGACUCCAGGAGGCAGUGGCACUGGGGCAGGCUGCCAGGAAAGACCGGCUGUUGCAGCCUCUGCUGGUUUCUGGGAAAGCGUCGUGAAUGCGCUGGAAGAAGGCUCAGCAGUACUAACUCCCCUAACAGAAUGAAGUGACAGCCCAUGGAAAAUGUCUAGAACGAUGCGCGGUGAAACGGGACAUGUUCAAAAAUACUGGGCGUUAUGGCUGACCUUUGGACAACUCUGAUUUGAACUGUGUGGGUCCGCUCAUACGUGAUAGUUCUCAAUAAAUAGCGUACGUAGGAGUCCAUCUCAACAAGCCCAUUAUAAACUGGAAAUGUCAGAAGUCAGAAACGCAUUUGCUGCAUGUGGCCUACUGAACAUCACAGCUCAGGGCCUUGCCGUCUACGCCGAGCGGCCGAGCAUCUCGCACAGACACACACUGUCCGGACAGCGACAGGGCGGAGCAGCAGGACGCGCGGACACUGGCGGUGAGCUUAGGGGCCCUUCGCCCUCAUGAUCGCGUGGCUGACGGAGCUGAUGGGACGGCACUAGCCCAGGAAAGACCGACACUGAGAAUUCCACCUGCCGAGUUCCUACUGAAUCAGUACUGCCUUCACACCCUCACAACGUCGAGAAACGGUUCAGUCGAACCAUCGUGUCCAGACACCGCUGUUAGACGAACAACAAAACCUACGGAGAGAAAAGUUAAUUUUCAGUAGAAACUACUAGGUAUGUGUUUCAGGCGCCUGUGGCUCAGCUGGUAAAGUCUCACGGUUCUGAGUUCAAGCUGUAGGCUGGGUUUAACGAUUACUUAAAAAUAAAAUUUUU
This is a long non-coding RNA of Mustela erminea (ermine), 3562 nucleotides long. RefSeq lists it as uncharacterized. The record is from RefSeq and is a predicted model, not a curated record. The transcript is spliced from 2 exons. Lineage: Eukaryota; Metazoa; Chordata; Mammalia; Carnivora; Mustelidae.